Molecule: ribosomal RNA, 253 nt
Filed under: uncultured bacterium
Lineage: Bacteria
Description: partial 16S ribosomal RNA
Rfam family: Bacterial small subunit ribosomal RNA
Source: RNAcentral
UACAGAGGUCUCAAGCGUUGUUCGGAUUCAUUGGGCGUAAAGGGUGUGUAGGUGGCGCGCUAAGUCGGGUGUGAAAUUUCGGAGCUUAACUCCGAAACUGCAUUCGAUACUGGCGUGCUUGAGGACUGGAGAGGAGACUGGAAUUCAUGGUGUAGCAGUGAAAUGCGUAGAGAUCAUGAGGAAGACCAGUGGCGAAGGCGGGUCUCUGGACAGUUCCUGACACUGAGGCACGAAGGCCAGGGGAGCAAACAGG